Molecule: ribosomal RNA, 254 nt
Filed under: uncultured bacterium
Lineage: Bacteria
Description: partial 16S ribosomal RNA
Rfam family: Bacterial small subunit ribosomal RNA
Source: RNAcentral
GACGAACUGUCCUAACGUUGUUCGGAAUCACUGGGCGUAAAGGGCGCGUAGGCGGCCACCGCAAGUCAGUUGUGAAAGCUCUGGGCUUAACCCAGAAAGGUCAACUGAUACUGCGGGGCUAGAGUGCAGAAGGGGCAACUGGAAUUCUCGGUGUAGCGGUGAAAUGCGUAGAUAUCGAGAGGAACACCUGCGGCGAAGGCGGGUUGCUGGGCUGACACUGACGCUGAAGUGCGAAAGCUAGGGGAGCGAACGGG